UACGUAGGGUCCGAGCGUUGUCCGGAAUUAUUGGGCGUAAAGGGCUCGUAGGCGGUUUGUCGCGUCGGGAGUGAAAACACGGGGCUUAACCCCGUGCCUGCUUCCGAUACGGGCAGACUAGAGGUAUGCAGGGGAGAACGGAAUUCCUGGUGUAGCGGUGAAAUGCGCAGAUAUCAGGAGGAACACCGAUGGCGAAGGCAGGUCUCUGGGCAUUAACUGACGCUGAGGAGCGAAAGCGUGGGGAGCGAACAGG
This 253-nucleotide ribosomal RNA is filed under the name uncultured bacterium. Its description in RNAcentral is "partial 16S ribosomal RNA". It matches the Rfam family "Bacterial small subunit ribosomal RNA", at positions 524 to 776 of the family's 1533-position model. The record is from RNAcentral.